This 432-nucleotide ribosomal RNA is filed under the name Triticum aestivum (bread wheat). RNAcentral describes it as "partial small subunit ribosomal RNA". Lineage: Eukaryota; Viridiplantae; Streptophyta; Magnoliopsida; Poales; Poaceae. The record is from RNAcentral.
AUGCUCUACUCAUGGUGGCUCCAAGCCAAGGCGUCGGACAAACAAUCGCGGGAGAAAUGUCGGAUAUGCUACAUCGUGGUGGAAAGACUAUUUCUCACCUGCUCCUGUCUACCCCAGUAUCUGCACAAUAAAACAAUCCAAGCAGCGGCUUAUUCGCCUCCGGCGGUAGCGCCGGCGGCUUGCCCCCGGCAGAGACCGCCCUGCAAUGUCACCCAGCACAACACCAGCCUCUCUGCCUCUAGCUCCAGCGCCAGCUGCUCAAGCUCGCCGUCGCCGCAUCGCCAUGCGAGGCGUCGUCACCGUCGUGCGCAAGCAUCCGAACCAAGGGCCAUUGCCAAGCCUCACACGCCACCCCAGUUUACUGUCAAGUUUGAACGGCUUCAGAGUUCAAUUAAUGGGCCGCAGAGCGUCACAAUCCAUGGUCCACAAUAG